Molecule: ribosomal RNA, 891 nt
Filed under: Kushneria marisflavi
Lineage: Bacteria; Pseudomonadati; Pseudomonadota; Gammaproteobacteria; Oceanospirillales; Halomonadaceae
Description: bacterial SSU rRNA
Rfam family: Bacterial small subunit ribosomal RNA
Source: RNAcentral
CGAUACGUAGCUGGUCUGAGAGGAUGACCAGCCACACCGGGACUGAGACACGGCCCGGACUCCUACGGGAGGCAGCAGUGGGGAAUAUUGGACAAUGCGGGAUACCCUGAUCCAGGCAUCCCACGUGUGUGAAGAACGCCUUAGGGUUGUAAAGGACUUUCAGUGGGGAAGAAGGCAUGAUGAUUAAUACUCGUCAUGAAGGACAUCACCCACAGAAGAAGCACCGGCUAACUCCGUGCCAGCACCUGCGGUAAUACGGAGGGUGCAAGCGUUAAUCGGAAUUACUGGGCGUUAAGGGCGCGUAGGCGGCUUGCCAAGCCGGAUGUGAAAGCCCCGGGCUCAACCCGGGAACGACAUUCGGAACUGGCAGGCUAGAGUGCAGGAGAGGAAGGUGGAACUCCAGGUGUAGCGGUGAGAUGCGUAGAGCUCGGGAGGAAUACCAGUGGCGAAGGCGGCCUUCUGGACUGACACUGACGCUGAGGCGCGAAAGCGUGGGUAGCAUACAGGAUUAGAUACCCUGGUAGUCCACGCCGUAAACGAUGUCGACCAGCCGUUGGACCCCUUGAGGGUUUGGUGGCGCAGUUAACGCAAUAAGUCGACCGCCUGGGGAGUACGGCCGCAAGGCUAAAACUCAAAUGAAUUGACGAUGGCCCGCACAAGCGGUGGAGCAUGUGGUUUAAUUCGAUGCAACGCGAAGAACCUUACCUGCUCUUGACAUCCUGCGAAUCUCCCAGAGAUGGGAGAGUGCCUUGGGGAACGCAGAGACUGGUGCUGCAUGGCUGUCGUCAGCUCGUGUUGUGAAAUGUUGGGUUAAGUCCCGUAACGAGCGCAACCCCUAUCCCUUUUUGCCAGCGGUCCGGCCGGGAACUUCAGGGAGACUCCCGGUGACAA